UUUCCGUAGGUGAACCUGCGGAAGGAUCAUUAUUGAAUAAACCUGGCUUGGUUGAUGCUGGUCUUUUCGGAGACAUGUGCACACCUUGUCAUCUUUAUAUCUCCACCUGUGCACCUUUUGUAGACCUGGAUUCAACUUUCCGAGGAAACUCGGUUGUGGGGAAUUGCUUAAUAGGCUUUCCUUGUCAGUUUCCAGGGCUAUGUUUUCAUAUACACCUUAAGAAUGUAACAGAAUGUCAUUAUUAGGCUUAAUUGCCUUAUAAACUAUAUACAACUUUCAGCAACGGAUCUCUUGGCUCUC
RNAcentral lists this unclassified non-coding RNA (300 nucleotides) under plant metagenome. Its description in RNAcentral is "partial contains small subunit ribosomal RNA, internal transcribed spacer 1, and 5.8S ribosomal RNA". The record is from RNAcentral.